Molecule: long non-coding RNA, 968 nt
Filed under: Helianthus annuus (common sunflower)
Lineage: Eukaryota; Viridiplantae; Streptophyta; Magnoliopsida; Asterales; Asteraceae
Description: hypothetical non coding rna
Source: RNAcentral
GUUGUUGUUGAUUGUUAGGCUGGAAAAUGCCAGUUAAGGAGUACGAGUUUGAUGAAAAGAAGAUGACCAAUGUGCAACCUCAUUAGGUUAAAGUUCCAGACAAAUUGCAAUUGCAUAAAUAAUUAAUGGAAUGUAAGGCGAUGAAAUAACCCGCUUGCAAAAGACUCAAGAGAUUUAGAAAGAUUAAUUGAAGGUUAAUUACCACCAAUCUCUUCUGAGUAAGCUUAUCGAUCUUAGCAUCAGUGUUGAAAAAGAAAACUGGCUACCAAAGGGUCAUGUAUUGGUAUCACAUCUGGUGCAUCUACUCCCAACAAGGCUGUUGAAGAUGUUUCUAUGAGGGUGUUUGAGAUCAGACGCGAAGAAUCACUUCAGCUCACAUAGAGAAAAUUAGGUAGGAGAAAGAUUAAAAUCAUUUGGAUCGAAAACACGACAAAUUAACAAGUGACAUUUUGUUACAAAGGAAUAUUAAAGCAGUUAGACAAGUCAGCGGAAUAUAUGUGGUGACUGAUGACCAUGAUAAUGAUGAAAACAUGGUUAGAAAUAAAAAAAAGGCGAGCCCAUUCUCAAUGAUGGUCACUUCAGAUCUUAACAUCACACAAUCUUCAGCCGGUGUGAUGUAGUUGUACAAAUAACGAAUGGUUGAUCUAAGAGCUCAGUUUAUGAUUUGUGAUUCUGGAACCAAACAAAGACAGGGUAUGUGAGUCUCAUGUGAUGGUACUGGAAAAUCAGUCAUGUCGCCCAAGAUGAUGGCCCGGGUCAAGCUUCAAGGUACACACAAAGUGACCAUAGCACAAACUUGAGACACAAUGAGAGUAGAGUAGUGCAUCAGGUAUAUUUAAUGACCAAAAGACCCAUUUAGACAAUGAGUUUUUGAAGCAUGAAAUCCGCAUUUGGUAGUUUUGCUUGAGAAAAAAUGCAUAUGGGAUAAUAUUUGAUAAAUCAUAAUAAGAUCAGCUACUUUCUUUCUU